GACGAACGCUGGCGGCGUGCUUAACACAUGCAAGUCGAACGGAAAGGCCCUGCUUUUGUGGGGUGCUCGAGUGGCGAACGGGUGAGUAACACGUGAGUAACCUGCCCUUGACUUUGGGAUAACUUCAGGAAACUGGGGCUAAUACCGGAUAGGAGCUCCUGCUGCAUGGUGGGGGUUGGAAAGUUUCGGCGGUUGGGGAUGGACUCGCGGCUUAUCAGCUUGUUGGUGGGGUAGUGGCUUACCAAGGGUUUGACGGGUAGCCGGCCUGAGAGGGUGACCGGCCACAUUGGGACUGAGAUACGGCCCAGACUCCUAUGGGAGGCAGAAGUGGGGAAUAUUGCACAAUGGGCGGAAGCCUGAUGCAGCAACGCCGCGUGCGGGAUGACGGCCUUCGGGUUGUAAACCGCUUUCGCCUGUGACGAAGCGUGAGUGACGGUAAUGGGUAAAGAAGCACCGGCUAACUACGUG
RNAcentral lists this ribosomal RNA (468 nucleotides) under uncultured bacterium. RNAcentral's name for it is "partial 16S ribosomal RNA". It matches the Rfam family "Bacterial small subunit ribosomal RNA", at positions 28 to 507 of the family's 1533-position model. The record is from RNAcentral.